Molecule: small nucleolar RNA, 136 nt
Organism: Ornithorhynchus anatinus (platypus)
Lineage: Eukaryota; Metazoa; Chordata; Mammalia; Monotremata; Ornithorhynchidae
Source: RefSeq, a predicted model, not a curated record
CCCCUCUCAGGAUCACCCUUGGAGAGUUUCCUGUGCUCUACCAGUCUGGGCUAUGGGAGGGAGAGUCAAGCGGAGACCUGCAUUCCACUCCUAGUUUGGCCAGUGUCUAGUGAGUGGAAGGCAAUCUGCUACAAAU